CUUUUCUUCUCUAGAGGUUUUGCAAGGACUCGCAAGAGAAUGGAUUCAUUUUCAUCACCGACUGGAUAUUUGCGUGCUUAUGGUCCAGGAUUCGUCUUACAAGAUUGAGAUUAGAAUAGAUCACUAGAAUGGGGAUGGAGAGAAUGAGAAUAUUGCAAAGAUGUUGAUCAAACUUGGGAGACAUUUGAGAAGACAUUAUGAGGUCAUAUUUCCAACUUCUAUAAACUUUGAAAAGAAAGGAAAAAGUACUACUGAAUAUUUUGGGAGUAGAAGCACAACUUAUGAAACAAGUACAAACAACUAGGAAGGAAGCAAAUGUAGAGUUGAGGAGGCAAUGAGGGAAGCAAAUGAGAAAUUGGAAGAAGUAAAAAAGCAAAUGGAGGGGAUGAAUAGACGAUGGGAAGAGAAGUUCAUGAUGAUACUUACAACUCAAGGUCAACAAUCUUCAGCAAAUAACCAAAUCCCUUUGGAUGAAAGAGUUGGUGGAAACUCUUAAAUGGUCAGAAAAAGUUGCUAUGACAUUGAAGCAUUUAUAUUUUGU
This is a long non-coding RNA of Pistacia vera, 541 nucleotides long. RefSeq lists it as uncharacterized. The transcript is spliced from 4 exons. The record is from RefSeq and is a predicted model, not a curated record. Lineage: Eukaryota; Viridiplantae; Streptophyta; Magnoliopsida; Sapindales; Anacardiaceae.